This 490-nucleotide ribosomal RNA is filed under the name uncultured bacterium. RNAcentral describes it as "partial 16S ribosomal RNA". It matches the Rfam family "Bacterial small subunit ribosomal RNA", at positions 30 to 507 of the family's 1533-position model. The record is from RNAcentral.
AUUGAACGCUGGCGGCAGGCCUAACACAUGCAAGUCGAACGGUAACAGGAAGAAGCUUGCUUCUUUGCUGACGAGUGGCGGACGGGAGAGGAAUGUCUGGGAAACUGCCUGAUGGAGGGGGAUAACUACUGGAAACGGUAGCUAAUACCGCAUAACGUCGCAAGACCAAAGAGGGGGACCUUCGGGCCUCUUGCCAUCUGAUGUGCCCAGAUGGGAUUAGCUAGUAGGUGGGGUAACGGCUCACCUAGGCGACGAUCCCUAGCUGGUCUGAGAGGAUGACCAGCCACACUGGAACUGAGACACGGUCCAGACUCCUACGGGAGGCAGCAGUAGGGAAUAUUGAACAAUGGGCGCAAGCCUGAUGCAGCCAUGCCGCGUGUGUGAAGAAGGCCUUCGGGUUGUAAAGUACUUUCAGCGGGGAGGAAGGGAGUAAAGUUAAUACCUUUGCUCAUUGACGUUACCCGCAGAAGAAGCACCGGCUAACUCCGUG